UCGGUGUUGUCGCGAGAAAACGCGGCCUCCUUCCCCUCUCGAAAAAAAAGAAAACCCAUCGAAACUUACACUUCCGGUUUCCUAGCCUCCGCAAGAACUUGCAAAACUUUUUGUACACAGUGUUCGCCUCUUUGCUGCUCAACUCCAUCGCGCUGUUCACCCGCUGUUCAUUCUUCUGCUGACCCGGCGGACAAAGUUUCGGGUAACGCCACUGCUGGCACGGUUCGGACCAGUCCAGAGCGGUGGCGGGCGCCAUGACGGUUAUUCGGCUCCAGGAACUCGGGAAACGCGGCUACCGACGCGGCUCAUCGACGGCGAUUCAGCGCCGCGGCGCACCACGUUUCUCGCCGCCGAGAGAGUUCGAUCAACGGCGGUCCUUUAACGCACCGCCGUAGCGAACGAUACACCCGGAAAGCGAUCGCCGAGUUUCUGGAAUUCUUUCCGAGCUUCUAGUUCUUCGAAGAAAACGGAUCGCCGGGCCCACAGCUCGGAGACGCCGUUCACACAGGGGGGCCCCGCAAGGCCCAAUGCGACUAUCGAGAACGGAUUACGUGCCGGUGUGGAGAAUCGGGGCCGUAAAGGGUGCCAUUGUUCGUCCCCCGGCGCGAGAGAGAUACCGAGAGCGCCGGCGAUAGAGCACGGCCUCCAGGCCUAACCUCUUCGAAGCCGCGGGGGGGACAGGAACGAGAGCAAAAUCAAUGUUUAUCCUUCGAAGCCGUGCAGCCUCGAAUUCGUCGCGCCGAGCGAAGGCAGCUUUUCUCGCACUCUCGAUGUUUCACUGUCCCCGAUCGGUUUGCACCAAAUCCACGGGAUUCGAAGCGCGGAAUUCCGAUGGUCAACGAUACGACGAUCCCGCGGAUUAAACUGUGUGUUUGCCGCGACGCUUUAUACGCUCUGAAGUCACGCGACACCGAGCCAGCGGAGACCCCGAUUGUCGCCGGCGUUUGCUUCUGCCCGUUGUGUGAACGCGCCGCGAUCGCUGCUCUCCACGCAGCUCUCUCUCUCUCUACGUGCACGGAGACGUUCUCGUUCCGCGGCGGCUCGGCACGCGACUAAACCGAACGCGCCGCCAAUCGCCAUUGCUCGCGGGAGAAGCAGCUUCCGAGUGGGAGGGGGGCGGGCGGCCGGCCGGCCGCCGCGGGAGGGGGCAACGUGUCGCGGAUGUUAGCCGCGAAAGCGAACGUCGCGAUAUUUUCAGUCUCCUUUCGUUCCGUCACUUUGAGUCCUUCUCUUUUUUUUCCGAGUCCUUGCGCGAUCUGUUGCGACGAAGACAGAGAACACGCGAACGCGAGAUACGUCGAGUUUCGAUUAUGCAGAGUAUUUUUGUGGUAUUAUUAGCUGUGUGGACGCGGAUUCGACGCGAAAAAGUUGCGUUCGUCGAUAGGUUAAGCGACAUUGAACUUGGAACGUAACUUUCAUGGAAUCGUUCUUAAACCCAUCUGGAAUUACGGUGUUCGACUGUGCGGCGCUGCUGGUCUUUCGAGAGACGAAUUUUUAUGAAUAUUCUGCGAACUGGUUCGUUUUUAAUAAAUCGGCUCGUUCGCGCUUGGAAGUAAGCUGAUAUUAUAUGUUAUAUCAUAUAUAUCUUUUAUAUACAUAUUGUUAUAUAUAUAUUAGUAAGUAAAGUAGAAAUUACUGAUAACAGUAAAUAAUUAUUAUUCAGAAUGUACUUUCGUCAGGGUUCAAUAACAAUUCCCUCGGUGCAAUUGAUCUUUCGGUGGCUUCAAUCUAACCUCAAACGUAAACGUCUCGCAUACCGAGCAUGACGUUCAACCGUAAUCGCGAGAGCGAAACUGUUACAUACAUUUUAUUGUGCCGACGCGUAUGUUACAUCCGCGGUUAUCGAAGUGUCCGCGGAAUCAUCUACAACAACAGAACUCGCGCAUUUUAUCGGUUAAGAAAUAACAUUCAAGUGAUCGUCGACGCUUAUACAGAAUUCCGUUUUCGUGCAAUAUCGAAUUUCUCCGCAAAGUGAAAAGAAGAAGAACGCGCGGAAAAUUUGUGUAACCUAAAAAAAAAACGCACCUGUUGCAACAUCGAAAUUGAAGUACGCCGCGAAGUGCGUCGGAUUCGUUCGACGGUGAUUCGCGCACGCUCGCGCGGCGAUUCCGUUAAUUAACGGGCGUCGUUCGACGGUCGACUGUGAUCGAGCAAGCGAACGGCGAAAGAUUCUCGCCGCCGGUAGGAAGGAAAGAAGAAACCGGACGCAUUUCAUUUGCACGCGGCAACAAACUCUCUCUCUCUCUCGCUUCGCGCGAGACCGCGCGACGCGCGAGGAUUAUUCGCGAUAAUGUCUAUUUAUAGUAGACUCGAAGUCGUCAAUGACGGACAUUACGUCGAAUUAAGUAGAAUGUGGUGCCAGUUCUGUAAAGAAUUUCGCGGUGAUCGCGCGCGCGCGCUGUUGUUCGCGCGAAAAUAGUGAUUCGCUUGGAACUGUCGUCCGUUGUUCGGCGAGCUGGCGCAAUAAAAAAAUAGGAGCGUCGACCUACACCCUACUGGUUGCAGAAGCGUGAUUAACCGAACCGGACGGCGGACCUUCGUGACGAAAAUAUUGCUGGCAUCUCUAUAAGUGCGCAUUUUCGCGACAAAGCGGCGCCGACCAACAGGCACGUAACGUCCGGAACGAAGUGCAAAGGGGUUACACUACAUGCAUCACAGAGCUUCAACCCGCUCUUUCGUUCGAAAAGCGAUCUCCCCACUGCUGACUUCCCCCCAGCGAGCAGAAGUUGAGCACCGCUGGCGUGGAAGAAGACGGCCGUAUUGUCCGUGUCGGCCGGCCCCCGCCGACAGGCCAUUGACAACAGUUAAAUAGUGUGUGCCAUAUUCCCGUUGCAAAAUCAAUACUAGUCGCAGAUUUGUUAAAUUCAA
Non-coding RNA from Megalopta genalis, 2868 nucleotides. Lineage: Eukaryota; Metazoa; Arthropoda; Insecta; Hymenoptera; Halictidae. The record is from RefSeq and is a predicted model, not a curated record.